UACGUAUGGUGCAAGCGUUAUCCGGAAUGACUGGGUGUAAAGGGAGCGUAGACGGUUGUUCAAGUCUGAUGUGAAAGCCCUCGGCUUAACUGGGGGAGUGCAUUGGAAACUGAAGGACUAGAGUAUCGGAGAGGCAAGUGGAAUUCCUAGUGUAGCGGUGAAAUGCGUAGAUAUUAGGAGGAACACCAGUGGCGAAGGCGGCUUGCUGGACGAAAACUGACGUUGAGGCUCGAAAGCGUGGGGAGCAAACAGG
Molecule: ribosomal RNA, 253 nt
Filed under: uncultured bacterium
Lineage: Bacteria
Description: partial 16S ribosomal RNA
Rfam family: Bacterial small subunit ribosomal RNA
Source: RNAcentral